GACGAACGCUGGCGGCGCGCUUAACACAUGCCAGUCGAACGGAAAGGCCUGCUUUCCCUUGUGGAUUGCGGGUACUCGAGUGGCGAACGGGUGAGUAACACGUGAGCGAUCUGCCCCCAACUUGGGUAUAAGCCUGGGAAACUGGGUCUAAUUCCCGAUAGGACUGCAGGGUGGUGCCUGUGGUGGAAAACGAUUUUCUAGUGGUUGGGGAUGAGCUCGCGGCCUAUCAGCUUGUUGGUGGGGUAAUGGCCUACCAAGGCGGCGACGGGUAGCCGGCCUGAGAGGGUGGACGGCCACAUUGGGACUGAGAUACGGCCCAGACUCCUACGGGAGGCAGCAGUGGGGAAUAUUGCACAAUGGGCGGAAGCCUGAUGCAGCGACGCCGCGUGGGGGAUGACGGCCUUCGGGUUGUAAACUCCUUUCGACCGCGAGGAAGCCACCUGGUUGGAAGGGUGGUGACGGUAGUGGUAGAAGAAGCACCGGCUAACUACGUG
This 494-nucleotide ribosomal RNA is filed under the name uncultured bacterium. Its description in RNAcentral is "partial 16S ribosomal RNA". It matches the Rfam family "Bacterial small subunit ribosomal RNA", at positions 28 to 507 of the family's 1533-position model. The record is from RNAcentral.